Molecule: ribosomal RNA, 420 nt
Filed under: Fusobacteriota bacterium
Lineage: Bacteria; Fusobacteriati; Fusobacteriota
Description: Fusobacteria bacterium partial 16S ribosomal RNA
Rfam family: Bacterial small subunit ribosomal RNA
Source: RNAcentral
UGGGGGAUAUUGCACAAUGGGCGAAAGCCUGAUGCAGCGACGCCGCGUGGGGGAUGAAGGCCUUCGGGUUGUAAACUUCUUUUGCUCUGAACAAGGCAUGCCUUUGGGGUGUGUUGAGUGUAGGGGUUGAUUAGCGCCGGCUAACUACGUGCCAGCAGCCGCGGUAAUACGUAGGGCGCGAGCGUUGUCCGGAAUUAUUGGGCGUAAAGGGCUUGUAGGUGGCUGGUUGCGUCUGUCGUGAAAGCUCAUGGCUUAACUGUGGGUUUGCGGUGGGUACGGGCUGGCUUGAGUGCAGUAGGGGAGGCUGGAAUUCCUGGUGUAGCGGUGGAAUGCGCAGAUAUCAGGAGGAAUACCGAUGGCGAAGGCGGGUCUCUGGGCUGUUACUGACGCUGAGGAGCGAAAGCGUGGGGAGCGAACAGG